Molecule: small nuclear RNA, 136 nt
Filed under: Sciurus vulgaris (Eurasian red squirrel)
Lineage: Eukaryota; Metazoa; Chordata; Mammalia; Rodentia; Sciuridae
Description: U4 spliceosomal RNA (ENSSVLG00005004782.1)
Rfam family: U4 spliceosomal RNA
About the family: U4 small nuclear RNA (U4 snRNA) is a component of the major U2-dependent spliceosome. The structure of U4 snRNA from yeast and human has been reported. U4 snRNA presents a k-turn RNA motif in the 5p-SL related to recognition of Snu13 protein.
Source: Rfam by way of RNAcentral
AGCUUUGUACAGUGGUAGCAUCAUAGCCAAUGAGGUUUAUCUGGGGUGUGAUUAGUGUUAAUUGAAAACUAUAAAAACGAAAACAAUACCAUGAUAAGAUGCCCUUUUUUCUUUCUUUUUUUUUUUUUUAAGAAAA